GACACUAAGGGACGAAAGCGUGGGGAGCAAACAGGAUUAGAUACCCUGGUAGUCCACGCCGUAAACGAUGAUCAUUAGUUGGUGGCAAAAGUCACUAACACAGCUAACGCGUUAAAUGAUCCGCCUGAGUAGUAUGCUCGCAAGAGUGAAACUUAAAGGAAUUGACGGGAACCCGCACAAGCGGUGGAGCAUGUGGUUUAAUUUGAAGAUACGCGUAGAACCUUACCCACUCUUGACAUUCUCGCAAAACUAUAGAGAUAUAGCCGAGGCUAACGAGAUCACAGAUGGUGCAUGGUUGUCGUCAGCUCGUGUCGUGAGAUGUUAGGUUAAGUCCUGCAACGAGCGCAACCCUUUUCUUUAGUUGCUAACAUUUAGUUGAGAACCCUAAAGAUACUGCCGGCGCAAGCCGGAGGAAGGUGGGGACGACGUCAAAUCAUCAUGCCUCUUACGAGUGGGGCAACACACGUGCUACAAUGGCUACUACAAAGAGCAGCAAAACAGUGAUGUCAAGCUAAUCUCAAAAAAGUAGUCUCAGUUCGGAUUGAAGUCUGCAACUCGACUUCAUGAAGUCGGAAUCGCUAGUAAUCGCAGGUCAGCUAUACUGCGGUGAAUACGUUCUCGGGUUUUGUACACACCGCCCGUCACACCAUGGGAGUUGGUAAUGCCCAAAGUCGGUGAGUUAACUUCGGAGACCAUUGCCUAAGGCAGGACCGAUGACUGGGGUGAAGUCGUAACAAGGUAUCCCUAC
RNAcentral lists this ribosomal RNA (748 nucleotides) under Mesomycoplasma hyopneumoniae. RNAcentral describes it as "bacterial SSU rRNA". It matches the Rfam family "Bacterial small subunit ribosomal RNA", at positions 742 to 1505 of the family's 1533-position model. The record is from RNAcentral. Lineage: Bacteria; Bacillati; Mycoplasmatota; Mycoplasmoidales; Metamycoplasmataceae.